GAUGUGAGGGCUGUCUGGCUGCGACAUCUGUCACUCCAGUGAUCGCCAAGGUGGAUUCGGCUGAUCUGGCUGGCUAGGUGGUUGUCCCCUUCCUCCCUCACCGCUC
Erinaceus europaeus (western European hedgehog) is the source of this 106-nucleotide non-coding RNA. The record is from Rfam. NCBI's taxonomy places the organism in Eukaryota, Metazoa, Chordata, Mammalia, Eulipotyphla, Erinaceidae.